UUAUUGGGCGUAAGCGCGCGCAGGCGGUUUCUUAAGUCUGAUGUGAAAGCCCACGGCUCAACCGUGGAGGGUCAUUGGAAACUGGGGAACUUGAGUGCAGAAGAGAAAAGCGGAAUUCCACGUGUAGCGGUGAAAUGCGUAGAGAUGUGGAGGAACACCCGUGGCGAAGGCGGCUUUUUGGUCUGUAACUGACGCUGAGGCGCGAAAGCGUGGGGAGCAAACAGGAUUAUAUACCCUGGUAGUCCACGCCGCCAACGAUGAGUGCUAAGUGUUAUAGGGUUUCUGCCCUUCAUUGCUGCUGCUAACGCAUUAUGCACUCCGCCUGGGGAGUACGGCCGCCAGACUGAAACUCAUAGGAAUUGUUGGGGGCCCGCACACGCGGCGGAGCAUGUGGUUUUUUU
Molecule: ribosomal RNA, 401 nt
Filed under: Priestia flexa
Lineage: Bacteria; Bacillati; Bacillota; Bacilli; Caryophanales; Bacillaceae
Description: bacterial SSU rRNA
Rfam family: Bacterial small subunit ribosomal RNA
Source: RNAcentral